This 119-nucleotide ribosomal RNA is filed under the name Pteropus alecto (black flying fox). Lineage: Eukaryota; Metazoa; Chordata; Mammalia; Chiroptera; Pteropodidae. The record is from RNAcentral.
GUCUACAGCCAUGCUACACUGAACGUGCCCGAUCUCAUCUGAUCUCGGAAGUGAAGCAGGGUCGGGCCUAGUUAGUACUUGGAUGGGAGACCACCUAGGAAUACCAGGUGCUGUAGGCG